This 272-nucleotide ribosomal RNA is filed under the name uncultured bacterium. RNAcentral's name for it is "partial 16S ribosomal RNA". It matches the Rfam family "Bacterial small subunit ribosomal RNA", at positions 333 to 616 of the family's 1533-position model. The record is from RNAcentral.
GUUCUCCUACGGGGCGCAGCAGUCGAGAAUCAUUCACAAUGGGGGAAACCCUGAUGGUGCGACGCCGCGUGGGGGAAUGAAGGUCUUCGGAUUGUAAACCCCUGUCAUGUGGGAGCAAAUUAAAAAGAUAGUACCACAAGAGGAAGAGACGGCUAACUCUGUGCCAGCAGCCGCGGUAAUACAGAGGUCUCAAGAGUUGUUCGGAAUCACUGGGCGUAAAGCGGGCGAAGGCUGGUUCGUAAGGCGUGUGAGAAAGGCGCGGGAUCAACCCG